UUCUUUGAAAAUGACUGCACAGCAAUUAAGUGUGUGUAUUGGGGGGAGGGAGGAUUAUCUGGAUUUACCGAAGAAGAAAGUCUCUGCUUUAUGGCUGGAGGUAGGGGGAGGGAAUGAGGUCAGCAACUGCUGCAAUGAGAUGGACAGCACACAGUUUGCAGCACUGACUCACUUCCUCAGAAAUGUGAGCUCCAGAAGGUAUAAAGGUACAAACAGUGAGCAGGAGGAGCCUCUUUGUUAUGCGCAGCAAGCAAAACCAGCAGUAGCUGGUAGGAGCAGAUGCAAGCUCGUGAGGAAACAUUAAUCCAGGCAUAAGAAGGUGAGCUCGAGCACGGGAACAUUUAACAUGCCGGGACACAGGCACAGGAAACAAGCAAAGGCAGAGUUCGAACAGCACAGAGUGAUUGAUAUAAUUGCCUACACACAUUGACCCUCCAGAUAUUUUGACAUUGGAGCCAGUUCUCUCUGAUGCUGCAAUACCUCUUUACCAAUGUAGGGGUAAACUGAGGCAGUCCAUGGUAUUUUGCUGAGAACUGAGAACUCAAAUCCGAAAUCAUUAGACAAGCCUGGGAAUACAGCACAGCAGUUAACUUGACUCUGGUUGUCCUGGCAACCACAUUCCAAAAGGGCCUCACUUUGAUAAGGCCAGUACCAAACAACCGCGCUGGAUUGUUUUUCACUGUCUGCCUUAUUUCUAGAAAAUAAGCUCGGAUCCCAAAGAUCGCGCCAAGGCAAUACCACCCCCGAAGUAGACGCAUUAUAUUUCUGGCCAAAAAAAUGACCAUCAACAUGCUUUUGUUUAUGUUGGCUUAUUUAGCUUGUUAGGAAUAAUUAUUUGUAUUAGUGAUAAUAUGUUUAAUUGGCAAUGGGUGGGGAUCCUGUGUAACCUUCAUAUUUUAUUGGCUUAUGUGCUCAUAAUGUUUCCACCGCUAGACCUAUCAAAUCACUUCCCUUCCGCCCAUCUGUUGCCUAUAUAAUCUAAUGUAUGUUUUGGUUAAGUCAGUACUCAGCAGGUUAAUCCCAGGGGGGUACUCCACCAGCUGUGUGAACCAAUAAAUCCUCUGCUUAUUUUCACCUGCACCCAGUGUGUCUGGAAUUAUUCCCUACAACCAAAAUGUUUUAUAUGAAAGGUUAAUAUGAGCUGACAUAACAUCAUACAGUAGAAAAAUAAAUGAGGCCAUACUUGCUAGUGGAGUAGACCAUUCCCUUUUGCUUGAAUAGCAAAUUGUUAGUGGGCUGGAUUUUCAUUAAAAAAAUAGGUAAAUUUAAUGAUCUAGAUAAAUGUUAUAUCUGCAACUAAUUUAUUACUUGGAAAAUGUCUACUGUGUGAAUUAUUAGUACAGGCAAUCUUUAAAUCACAUUUUUCUCACUUCUUUUCUAUGGUAAUAUGCAAAUUACUGGAGAAAUUCUUAUUUUUAAAUGUUUUAAAGAGAAAAUGGUGUCUCUCUUUAGUGUUUUCUAAAGCACUCUUUUAUCACAGUGCCUAAGCCCUGAUCUACUAAAUUAGUACUGCAUGACAAUGUAUAAAGUAAAAUUCAUAGCAGAUUCCAACAAGCAGUAAUUUUCCAAAGAAUUGAGAUAGCAACACUAUCUCCAAUACAUUUCCAGGUGGAAUGGAUUUGGAUGGGAGAAAUCAAUAGACUCAUCCUGGUUUCAACACCAGUGAAUUAGUAACAUGACAAAAAACAAACAAACAAACAAACAAAAACACUGCUUCCCCUACCCAUACUAGCUCUAUUAUGAAAUUUUACACAGUUUGAAUCAUAGAAACCAUGGAGUGAAGAUUUACUAUGAAGAUUAAUGAUUUGGAAAUGGCAGUAAAUGGCCACUAAGAAGCCCUGUUCCCAGAGAUAUUAAUCAUUAUGAUUAUUAGACCAGUGGUAAGAUUGACAGGAGUGAAGGAGUUUCUUAAAUGUGGGACUAUGAUCUGACAGUUCUAACUUCUAUGAAGAAAACUAGUCCUCAAUUAGUCCAUUUUGUAUAGUUAAAGAAUGCUACACACCAUGAGCUUCUGAUACAUUUCAAAGUUCUGUUUGUAUUAGCACCUGCAUCAGCCACAAGGUCUACUGCUCCUGAGUCAGAGCAUGGUUAGUCGAGCAUGACCAAGAGCUGCAGUAUAGCAGAGAAGCCGGUUCUGGUCAAAAGGCACUCCACUGCAGAUAUGUUUGAGACAACGUGGGAAUUGAUCGAACUGACUGCUAAUUCACCCUCGUCUCCUGCAGAGUGCUGAGACCAGCCUCGGGCUCAUGCUUAGUCAUUGGCACUGGACACGGGUAGGCCCGCCCUGCCCUCAGUACCGGUGCCCCAUGUGGUGCUGCUCUCCCCGGUGCUCAUGUCUAUACCGACACAGAUGGGCCCUCCGGUACCAGUAGCCUCGCUCUCUCAGGAGUCCAGGGAGAACUUGGUGUCUAGCACACUUAUCCUGGUGGCCCAAUCCAUGGCACCAGAUCACCUGAUGCUCCCACCGUCAUUGCAGCACCAGGGCAAGCCAGCAUCAGUUCAGCACAUGGAAAGGCACCAAUCCCCGGGUCCAGCCUCAGCCCCUCUUGCUCAGAGUCCGAUGACUCAACGGAUUCCAUUGUAGAGUUGGUUCAGUCCAGAGCAUUGCUAUCUCAAUCCCCUCCCAGCAUUGCUUGGACUCCUGAUGCCGAUCCCGGUCCCGGUGCUGUUCUAGAUCUUGACCAGGUCUCGGUGCCACUCUCACUCCCAGCACCACAAGCACCAUGUCAGUGUUUUGGGCCAAUCGCAGAUCUGGCCUCCACAGUGGCAGCACCCAGACUAGUGGCCAUUUUGGAUCCUGUGGGUGUAUGACCAGGCCCAAGGGAGUACUCUCUGCACGGUGGGAUCCUCAUGUUUGGGAAUCUGGGCCCUAUCCUUGUCCACCCCAUUGCGUAGUGCCCCAGCACCGCAAACCUCAGCAGUAUGGGGUGAAUCCCCUCAGCCCCCAUUGGAGGGUGAUGAAGGGCCAUCGGGGAAGUCUGCCCACUCUCAGUCAUCGGAGCAGCUGCACGAACUGGAGGACUCAACAGUAUAUAAGUACUCAUCGUCCUUCCCAACAAGGCCCUAGGAUUGGCCUCUUCAUCAAUGCCAGCCAUGGACUCCUGUGCCCAUCAAGAUCUCCUGGAGACUGGCCCAAAGUCUCAGGGUCCAGCUCCAGGGGCCUCUGAGAACUCCAACCCAGUGGUCGACAUCCUGAACACAGAGGUGCCAUCUCCUGUGGCAUUGCCCUUGAAUAAGACAGUGGGGAAAAUCACCAAGGCCCUCUGACAGACAUCAGUGUUUAUUCUGCCUAUGGACAAGAGGGCAGAAUGGUGGUACUUUGACCCAUAGGUGGGCCAGAAGCACAUGUUCUCACAUCCGUCUCUGGGCUCGAUAGUGGUACAUGCUGCUCCUUCCCUGGGGCCCUGUCCCACCCUUUCUAGCAGAGAAAUAGGUCGGAUUUCUCUAGACGCAGGGGCCAUAAUAAUAAUAACAGAAGCAGCAGGCAUCCUUCUUGCUCAUCUUCUGACCCGGGGGCGUGUCAUUCCAGCUAGUCCCAGGUCUCAGGCUGAAUCUUUGAAGGUGCGAGCAAUGACAGCACACCAGUCUCAGACCAGAGGCCUUUUACCAAUCCUCUUUUUCCCUUCCAUUGUGCCUGGUGGCACAUCAUGAUGGACCACUGGGUCCUGGCCACGGUGAGCAUCUUCUCAGGCUGGAAGUAAAGAAGCUUCUUGACCUGGGGGUGGUAGAGGAGGUCCCCUGGGACAUCAGGGGAAAGGGUUUCUACUGCUACUCCCAAAGGCAAAAGGUGGCUUCUGCCCCAUUGUGGACCUGAGGAAUCUAGUAAAUCAUAGUAAAGACAAAGUUCAAAAUGGUAACC
Molecule: non-coding RNA, 3859 nt
Organism: Pelodiscus sinensis (Chinese soft-shelled turtle)
Lineage: Eukaryota; Metazoa; Chordata; Testudines; Trionychidae
Source: RefSeq, a predicted model, not a curated record